This 233-nucleotide ribosomal RNA is filed under the name uncultured bacterium. RNAcentral's name for it is "partial 16S ribosomal RNA". It matches the Rfam family "Bacterial small subunit ribosomal RNA", at positions 89 to 339 of the family's 1533-position model. The record is from RNAcentral.
CGGCGAGUAGCGCACGGGUGCGUAACGCGUAGGAAUAUACCAUAUAGUAGGGAAUAACCAUUGGAAACGAUGGCUAAUACCUUAUAGUCCCUUCGGGGUAAAGAUUUAUCGCUAUAUGAUUAGCCUGCGUUAGAUUAGCUAGUUGGUGAGGUAAUUGCUCACCAAGGCUACGAUCUAUAGCUGGUCUGAGAGGAUGAUCAGCCACACUGGAACUGAGACACGGUCCAGACUCC